CCUACGGGUGGCUGCAGUGGGGAAUAUUGGACAAUGGGCGAAAGCCUGAUCCAGCCAUGCCGCGUGUGUGAAGAUGGCCUUCGGGUUGUAAAGCACUUUCAGUGGGGAAGAAAGCCUUGGGGCUAAUACCCUCGAGGAAGGACAUCACCCACAGAAGAAGCACCGGCUAACUCCGUGCCAGCAGCCGCGGUAAUACGGAGGGUGCGAGCGUUAAUCGGAAUUACUGGGCGUAAAGCGCGCGUAGGCGGUCUGAUAAGCCGGUUGUGAAAGCCCCGGGCUCAACCUGGGAACGGCAUCCGGAACUGUCAGGCUAGAGUGCAGGAGAGGAAGGUAGAAUUCCCGGUGUAGCGGUGAAAUGCGUAGAGAUCGGGAGGAAUACCAGUGGCGAAGGCAGCCUUCUGGACUGACACUGACGCUGAGGUGCGAAAGCGUGGGUAGCAAACAGGAUUAGAUACCCCGGUAGUC
This 465-nucleotide ribosomal RNA is filed under the name Vreelandella stevensii. Its description in RNAcentral is "partial 16S ribosomal RNA". It matches the Rfam family "Bacterial small subunit ribosomal RNA", at positions 338 to 795 of the family's 1533-position model. Lineage: Bacteria; Pseudomonadati; Pseudomonadota; Gammaproteobacteria; Oceanospirillales; Halomonadaceae. The record is from RNAcentral.